GAAAUGCGAUAAGUAGUGUGAAUUGCAGAAUUCAGUGAAUCAUCGAAUCUUUGAACGCACAUUGCGCCCCUUGGUAUUUCAUGGGGCAUGCCUGUUCGAGCGUCAUUUGUACCCUCAAGCUCUGCUUGGUGUUGGGUGUUUGUCCCGUCUCCGCGCGUGGACUCGCCCCAAAGUGAUUGGCAGCCGGCGUACUGGUCCCGGAGCGCAGCACAUGUCGCGCAAACGAGUGCCUUGGUACGGCGGCGUCCAUAAGCCCCUCUCUCACGCUCUUGACCUCGGAUCAGGUAGGGAUACCCGCUGAACUUAAGC
Molecule: unclassified non-coding RNA, 309 nt
Filed under: plant metagenome
Description: partial contains 5.8S ribosomal RNA, internal transcribed spacer 2, and large subunit ribosomal RNA
Rfam family: 5.8S ribosomal RNA (bases 1-105)
Source: RNAcentral